Long non-coding RNA from Dreissena polymorpha, 497 nucleotides. RefSeq lists it as uncharacterized. The record is from RefSeq and is a predicted model, not a curated record. The transcript is spliced from 2 exons. NCBI's taxonomy places the organism in Eukaryota, Metazoa, Mollusca, Bivalvia, Myida, Dreissenidae.
UGCCCCCCUUCGAAGAAGAGGGGGUAUAUUGCUUUGCUCAUGUCGGUCGGUCGGUCUGUCGGUCUGUCCGUCCACCAGGUGGUUGUCAGACGAUAACUCAAGAACGCUUGGGCCUAGGAUCAUGAAACUUCAUAGGUACAUUGAUCAUGACUUGCAGAUGACCCCUAUUGAUUUUGAGGUCACUAGGUCAAAGGUCAAGGUCACGGUGACCCGAAAUAGUAAAAUGGUUUCCGGAUGACAACUCAAGAACGCAUACGCCUAGGAUCAUGAAACUUCAUGGGUAGAUUGAUCAUGACUCGCAGAUGACCCCUAUUAAUUUUGAGGUCACUAGGUCAAAGGUCAAGGUCACGGUGACCUGAAAUAGUAAAAUGGUUUCCGGAUGAUAACUCAAGAACGCAUACGCCUAGGAUCAUGAAACUUCAUGGGUAGAUUGAUCAUGACUCGCAUAUGACCCCUAUUGAUUUUGAGGUCACUAGGUCAAAGGUCAAGGUCACGGU